Molecule: long non-coding RNA, 4231 nt
Organism: Phocoena sinus (vaquita)
Lineage: Eukaryota; Metazoa; Chordata; Mammalia; Artiodactyla; Phocoenidae
Source: Ensembl
GAUGUGACAGCCUCUAUCAUGCCUGCUAUCUUCCAAGAAGUUCAUUAUUCUCUCAACCCCCAUAUUCCUUUCUGAACACACAGAGAAGCAGUAGUUGGGUGGCUCUAUAGACACUGCUGGGGUUUCUGCUCUUCUUGCCGUCAGGGCUGCGGUGGUGGAGUGAGGGUUAGAAUCUCUCCAAGUCUCAGAGCCGCAGGUGUUCUCAUACUUAUUCAGUCGUGUGCUUAUUGCAGGGUUAUGUUUCCAGAGUUGUCACCAAAUACUAUGAAAAACCAUUAGUUAAUAUCGGACAAUGAAAUGUCUAAUCAUUUAGAUAAACAUGUCUAAAGUGUUGGAUUUAAUGUUAGUGAGAUCAUCAAUUCUCUAUUUAUUCAAACGAACAGUUGAAUAUUUUAUUUAUUUACUAAAAUAAGUUUUAUUUAUUUAUUUAUUUGGGUGCACUGGGUCUUAGUUGCAGCAUGAGGGAUCCUCGUUGCCGCGUGUGGGAUCCUCACUGCAGCAUGCGAGAUCUUUUAGUUGCAGCAUGCAUGAUCUCUUUAGUUGCACAUGCAGGAUCUUUAGUUGCAGCAUGUGUGAUCUUUUAGUUGUGGCAUGCGGGAUCUUUUAGUUGCAGCAUGCAGGAUCUUUAGUUGCAGCAUGCGGAAUCUUUAGUUGCAGCAUGAGAACUCUUAGUUGUGGCAUAUGGGAUCUAGUUCCCUGGCCAGGGAUAGAACCCGGGUCCCCUGCAUUGGGAGUGUGGAGUGUUAGCCACUGGACCACCAAGGAAGUCCCUGAAUACUUUAAAUGAAUGUAAUGUUUAAGAGCAGUAACAUUUGGGGAUGCUAUGAAUUCUCAACAUUCCUACAGAAUGAAACAAAUAUAGUCAUUCCUCAAAUAUAUGCCCAUCUCUGUGGUUUGCAAAAUUUUCAAAGGUUUCAGCUGCAUAUUCAUAAUGGAUUCUUUGCAGAACACAUCAGUCUAUAUCACUGCAUCUUUAUCAUUUUAGGAAUAGGUACAAUGAAGAAGAAAUCUGUGCUUUCCUUGCAGGUAUUGAGCUAGUGGAACAUUUGCUAUAUUAAAAUAAUUUUGUAUUGUAUUUGAUUGACAUUCAACUUUAAGUUAAUUAUACCUCACCUCCUACUCCAAUAUAGAAUGUAAUACUUUAGACCUUUCAUCACUAGUUUAGCAUAAACUAAGAAAAAUUUUCUUUUGAUGCUAUUUACUUACUUGGGCUAGACUUGAUUUAUCUGAAUCAUUACACUCACUCUUUUUUUUAACAUCUUUAUUGGGGUAUAAUUGCUCUACAGUCGUGUGUUUGUUUCUGCUGUAUACCAAAGUGAAUCAGCUAUACAUAUACACAUGUUCCCAUAUCUCUUCCCUCCUGCGUCUCCCUCCCUCCCACCCUCCCUGUCCCACUACAAUGAACAUGGCUGACUUGGUAAAAAGAAAAAGCAUAAAAACUGUUUUUGUAUGAGAUAAAAAUUCAUUAUUGCUAUCAAGUACAAAUAUAACCUUCUAAAAUAGGUUUUGAAAGUAAAACUAAUGGAAACAUUCAAUUUAAGCAUCUGUUUAUUAGAAGUUGUAAGUUAACUGAAUUUAUUAGAUGCAGUUUUAUAGCGGUUGCAGUCAGAAUUUCAAAGGAAGCAACUUUCCCUGAGAGUGUGUCAUGGCCUGUUGGUGAGCAAUGUGUGGCACAAGUAUAUCACUCUCAGUGGUGACAGGAGGGUGGGGCAAAGGUCCUCACUCAGAGCUGAUCCAGUAGAAAAUAUGCAAACGCAGCAUGAACUCCAUGUGGUAACUGGCCACUGAGAAGACCCUCCGCGGAAGAAACUCGAACCGGAUGGUCACCAACAAGGCAUCUUUGCCUUAAGUUUUGCUAAUGUUGCUUGUCUGGGAGAGAGGUGGUUAUGUAAAUAAAAACAGUGAACUAGAGCCAAACAACAACAGAAAACAAAAAAAAACAGCCCAUAGCACACUCUCAGGGAAAGCUGCUUUUGAAAUUCUGACUGCAACCAUUAUAAAACCGCAUCUAGUAAAUUCAGUUAAAACUUUUAAUAAAUAGAUGUUUAAAUUGAAUUUGUUUCCAUUACCAUUAAUUUUCAAAGCCUGUUAUAGAAAAUCAUAGUUGUACUUGACUCUGGAAUCAGUGCCCUGCAUUUCCCUUCCCCAUGUCCAUGUGUACCAACAUUGAGGUACUCUGCUAUAAAUGCUAUCCUUCUGAUUUGGGAAUAAAGCAGAAUCACUGACAACCAGCUUUUCCUCCUCUUAGCCUUUUAUUAGCCAGGUACUAGGAAAAGAAAUGGUUAAGACAUAGCCCUACCCUUGAGGAGUUCAUAGUCUUGUAUAGAAACUGAUGCAGAAUUAGGAUGUAAUGAAUGUGAUUAGUGUAGAUUUUUCUGUUUGAAGUAUUGGAACUAUUUACCUGUUUUUGGGUCUUUUGUGCAAAAUCGUUUGUAGAAGGGAAGGAGCAGAGAGGAUGACAGAAUCUCUAUAUUUAAAAAAAUGGACACACACGCACCGCCCCCCCCCCCCCGCCCCCACUGCCACCAGAUGGCAACGUGAUAUUUGGAGGAUUUUUUUUUUUAAUUCAGGGAUCACUGCCUUGUUUCAGGAUCAUUUAGAUUAGUACUUUCUCCUGCCACCUAGGCUUUUAAUCUCUUAGUGUGGAAACUGAUUUUAGUUUUUGGUUCACGUAUUUGCCUUACUAAUUGUAUCAAGCAUAUGAAACCCUGAUGAAUCAAACUCUGUAUAGCAAAUAAUAUGAUUUUGAUGAGCUGUUUUGUUUUUUCACUGUUACGACAGUACCAACUUACAUUUGAAGUCCAAAGCCAGCAUUUGCUCAUUCUGAGGUGGGACUGGUGAGCAUCCAUAAGUGGCAUGGCUAUUUGGGAGUACUUUUGGUUGGGACGCUGAAGCCAGGGCUCCAGAGAAUAUCCCCCUGCUAAACAGGUUAUAAAAGGAUGUUAUUCUUUUUAAUAAAAUGGUACAAAUAAUUCCUCUUGAAAAGUAUCUAUUACCUCACCCUGAGAAGUGUUUGACUUGGAUAAGCCACUGUUCAUUCUAGUCUUUUAACAUAACUGAACAUGUUAAAGUGAUUUAGGCCACAGGAGAUUUUAUGGCUAUUAGAAACUAUUUGGCUGCAAAUAUAAUAUGAAUAAAAUAAUAAAUGUUUUUUAUUUUGAUUAAACUGAUUUAUAUAGUUUUUUCUGGAAUGAAUCAUAAUAUAUUUGUCUUCCACAUAAUUUUGUAAUGUAGAUAGUAUGUUAACUCCCACUUUUGACCUCAUAAUUCAUGUUUUUAUUGUUUGUAGGCCAGUGAGAAGAAUUCCUCAUUAUCAAAUUCUCAUCAACAAGUCUGACAGAAUUUGCGUCUCCUAAACCUACAUUUCCAAGGAGGUCAUAACAAUAUUUAUGGAAUAUGAGGCACAGAAUCUUAAGUUAAAAAAUAUUUUUCCAGGUCUCAUUUGCAUUGAACUCAAAUUAACUGUCAAAUAAGAAUACUGAUAUAAGGAAGGUAAAUACUACAAAAAAUGUAAUCUUUAGCAUGUAGCUGAAUGGAAUCCUAAAUUUUAUCAGUAAUAUUCAGAAACCUUAUUUUAAUAGUAUUUCCUUCUAAAAAGGAGCUUGGAACAUAGUGGGUUUGUUUCAAAUAUCCUAAUUAGAAAGAAAUUUUCUUUCAGAAAACAGCAAUUGCAAUUUUUUGCUUUCUUGAAAGAUUUUCUUUAAAAAGGGGUUCAGAAGAAAGAAAUUGUCAGGAUUAAGGAUUAAGUUCGGGAUAGGUUUAUUCUAGCAGGCUUUGUGGCACAGGUCCCCUAAGUAAUUCAUUGUGAUACUCCAGUAUCUGCCAUGUGUCAGAAAUUAACUUGCCAUUAACUGACAGCUAAAUUUGAUACCCUUAGUCUUAAAGUACACAGGAUGUCAUACAUAAACCAGUCCAAUCUUUGAAGGAUUACUUCUCUUAGAUGCUCUACAGAAUUGUAGGACUGUCCAUUUUAUAGGAUUUUUUUUUUGAGGCAACAUCUUUAAAAAUGCCUGUAAAUUCUAAAAAGUGUUUGCUAACUUAAAAUUUGUUUUUAGGUAUUUAUUGCUAAGUUGAAAACCUUCUUUACCAAAUAUGAUGGAACCAAAGAUACGACGAAGCCAUGGCUAAGAAAAAUCAGCCCCCGUGAUUAAAUUUUAUUGAGUAUGAACAAUUUUUUUCUUGAUGUACAGACUCAAUAGUACUUUUCUACCCAACUGGAUAAAUAAAAGCU